CAUUAAAUAGCUAAAAGUUAGUUUUGGUCUCUUAAACCACCUCAUAGUAGUCUCACACCUACUUUUAAUG
This 70-nucleotide transfer RNA is filed under the name Scolytinae sp. BMNH 1039996. Its description in RNAcentral is "tRNA-Lys". The record is from RNAcentral. Lineage: Eukaryota; Metazoa; Arthropoda; Insecta; Coleoptera; Curculionidae.